This 591-nucleotide ribosomal RNA is filed under the name bacterium EYS4B. RNAcentral's name for it is "bacterial SSU rRNA". It matches the Rfam family "Bacterial small subunit ribosomal RNA", at positions 338 to 917 of the family's 1533-position model. The record is from RNAcentral.
CCUACGGGGGAGCAGCAGUAGGGAAUCUUCCACAAUGGACGCAAGUCUGAUGGAGCAACGCCGCGUGAGUGAAGAAGGGUUUCGGCUCGUAAAGCUCUGUUGUUAAAGAAGAACGUGGGUGAGAGUAACUGUUCACCCAGUGACGGUAUUUAACCAGAAAGCCACGGCUAACUACGUGCCAGCAGCCGCGGUAAUACGUAGGUGGCAAGCGUUAUCCGGAUUUAUUGGGCGUAAAGCGAGCGCAGGCGGUCUUUUAAGUCUAAUGUGAAAGCCUUCGGCUCAACCGAAGAAGUGCAUUGGAAACUGGGAGACUUGAGUGCAGAAGAGGACAGUGGAACUCCAUGUGUAGCGGUGAAAUGCGUAGAUAUAUGGAAGAACACCAGUGGCGAAGGCGGCUGUCUGGUCUGUAACUGACGCUGAGGCUCGAAAGCAUGGGUAGCGAACAGGAUUAGAUACCCUGGUAGUCCAUGCCGUAAACGAUGAUUACUAAGUGUUGGAGGGUUUCCGCCCUUCAGUGCUGCAGCUAACGCAUUAAGUAAUCCGCCUGGGGAGUACGACCGCAAGGUUGAAACUCAAAGAAAAUUUGACGGA